UUACCCCUGCCUUGUUCGUGAUGGGCGGAAAAACUUAGAACCAACAUCUAAGAAAAGGGAGCUGUCCCUUGCUGUAGGAGGACAGGCCCUGAUUUUUUGGGGAAGUCUCAAGCAGUAAUAUGGCGCCCACCUGGUAAAACAGGUUCAAGUGGAACUCCUACACGGCAAAGUGGGGGGAUA
This 180-nucleotide non-coding RNA is filed under the name Candidatus Aerophobota bacterium. Its description in RNAcentral is "Candidatus Aerophobetes bacterium 6S RNA". It matches the Rfam family "6S / SsrS RNA". Rfam says of the family: E. coli 6S RNA was the first non coding RNA to be sequenced, but its function was unknown until recently. It consists of 184 nucleotides that fold into an extended hairpin structure with a large single-stranded internal bulge. Lineage: Bacteria; Candidatus Aerophobota. The record is from RNAcentral.